CGGCAGCAGGUCCUUCGGGAUGCUGGCGAACGGCGUGACGGGUGAGUAACACGUGGGAAUCUACCUUUCGGUGGGGGAUAACCCGGGGAAACUCGGAUUAAUACCGCAUACGCCCUACGGGGCAAAGCAGGCCUCUGAUUUAAGCUUGCGCCGAUAGAUGAGCCCGCGGCCGAUUAGCUAGUUGGUGGGGUAAAGGCCUACCAAGGUGACGAUCGGUAGCUGGUCUGAGAAGACGAUCAGUCACACCGGAACUGAGACACGGUCCGGACUCCUACGGGAGGCAACAAUUGGGGAAUAUUGGACAAUUGGGCCAAAACCCUGAAUCCAAGCAAAUGCCGCCGUGGGUUAAGAAGGCUUUAAGGGUGUUAAAGCCCCUUCAACAAGGGAAGGAAAAGCGUUACCGGUUAAUAAUCCGUUGCCGUGUUGAACGUUAACCUUGCAAGAAGGAAACAACCGGCUAACUCCCGUGCCCAACAAGCCGCCGGUUAAUAACGGAGGGGUGCAAGCCUU
This 510-nucleotide ribosomal RNA is filed under the name uncultured bacterium. Its description in RNAcentral is "bacterial SSU rRNA". It matches the Rfam family "Bacterial small subunit ribosomal RNA", at positions 66 to 542 of the family's 1533-position model. The record is from RNAcentral.